UACGUAGGGUGCGAGCGUUAAUCGGAAUUACUGGGCGUAAAGCGUGCGUAGGCGGUUCGUUAAGUUCGUUGUGAAAGCCCCGGGCUCAACCUGGGAAUGGCAAUGGAAACUGGCGGGCUUGAGUAUGGCAGAGGGGGGUGGAAUUCCGCGUGUAGCAGUGAAAUGCGUAGAGAUGCGGAGGAACACCGAUGGCGAAGGCAGCCCCCUGGGCCAAUACUGACGCUCAGGCACGAAAGCGUGGGGAGCAAAAGGG
RNAcentral lists this ribosomal RNA (253 nucleotides) under uncultured bacterium. RNAcentral describes it as "partial 16S ribosomal RNA". It matches the Rfam family "Bacterial small subunit ribosomal RNA", at positions 524 to 776 of the family's 1533-position model. The record is from RNAcentral.